RNAcentral lists this ribosomal RNA (253 nucleotides) under uncultured bacterium. Its description in RNAcentral is "partial 16S ribosomal RNA". It matches the Rfam family "Bacterial small subunit ribosomal RNA", at positions 524 to 776 of the family's 1533-position model. The record is from RNAcentral.
UACAGAGGUCUCAAGCGUUGUUCGGAAUCACUGGGCGUAAAGGGUGCGUAGGCGGCCAACUAAGUCAGACGUGAAAUCCCUCAGCUUAACUGGGGAACUGCGUCUGAUACUGGAUGGCUUGGAUUCGGGAGAGGAAUGCGGAAUUCCAGGUGUAGCGGUGAAAUGCGUAGAUAUCUGGAGGAACACCGGUGGCGAAGGCGGCAUUCUGGACCGAUAUUGACGCUGAGGAGCGAAAGCCAGGGGAGCAAACGGG